UCAAAAAAACCUCAAAGAAAUUUCAAACAAACAAUAAAAAUUCUUAAAGAAAUAUUAGAAGGAUCACAAAUAUCACUCAAAUACAUCUCAAUUCAAUCUUAAUUUAAUUCUAGUUAAAAUCCUAUUGAACUUCAUUCAAACUUUAGGCCAAAACUAAUUAAAUUUUAAAUCCUAAUAAAAUCCUAAACCCUAAAUCAAAUCCUAAAUAAACCUUAAAUCAAAUCCGAACCAAAUCCUAAACCAAAUCCUAAACCAAAUCCUGACCAAAUCCUAAACCAAAUCUUAAACCCAAAAUCAAACCGUAACCAAACCCUAAUCCAAAUCCUAAACCCUAAACCAAAUCCUAAUCCAAAUC
RNAcentral lists this long non-coding RNA (355 nucleotides) under Physcomitrium patens. RNAcentral describes it as "long non-coding RNA (PPAT_LNC002505)". Lineage: Eukaryota; Viridiplantae; Streptophyta; Bryopsida; Funariales; Funariaceae. The record is from RNAcentral.